This 423-nucleotide ribosomal RNA is filed under the name uncultured bacterium. RNAcentral's name for it is "bacterial SSU rRNA". It matches the Rfam family "Bacterial small subunit ribosomal RNA", at positions 107 to 507 of the family's 1533-position model. The record is from RNAcentral.
UGAGUAACACGUAGGUAAUCUACCCCAGAAUCUAGGAAUAACCUGCCGAAAGGCGGGCUAAUACUGGAUAGAGCGAUGGAACUCGUAAUUGGGUUUUCGGGAAAGGGAGCUCGCAAGAGCCUUCGUUUUGGGAUGAGCCUGCGUCUGAUUAGCUAGUUGGCGGGGUAAUGGCCCACCAAGGCGAUGAUCAGUAGCUGGUCUGAGAGGAUGAUCAGCCACACUGGAACUGAAACACGGUCCAGACUCCUACGGGAGGCAGCAGUGGGGAAUCUUGCGCAAUGGACGAAAGUCUGACGCAGCCACGCCGCGUGAGUGAAGAAGGCCUUCGGGUUGUAAAGCUCUGUCGGCCGGGACGAAAAUACUUAAGGUGAAUAGCCUUAGGGACUGACGGUACCGGCAAAGGAAGCACCGGCUAACUCUGUG